This 440-nucleotide ribosomal RNA is filed under the name uncultured bacterium. RNAcentral's name for it is "partial 16S ribosomal RNA". It matches the Rfam family "Bacterial small subunit ribosomal RNA", at positions 338 to 795 of the family's 1533-position model. The record is from RNAcentral.
CCUACGUGGUGCAGCAGUGGGGGAUAUUGCACAAUGGGGGAAACCCUGAUGCAGCGACGCCGCGUGAGUGAAGAAGGAUUUCGGUAUGUAAAGCUCUAUCAGUAGGGAAGAAAAUGACAGUACCUGACCAAUAAGCCCCGGCUAACUACGGGCCAGCAGCCGCGGUAAUACGUAGGGGGCCAGCGUUAUCCGGAUUUACUGGGUGUAAAGGGAGCGUAGACGGUUAUGUAAGUCUGGAGUGAAAGCACGCGGCCCAACCCCGGGACUGCUGUGGAAACUGUGUAACUGGAGUACAGGAGGGGCAGGCGGAAUUCGUGGUGUAGCGGUGAAAUGCGUAGAUAUCAGGAGGAACACCGACGGCGAAGGCGGCCUGCUGGACUGAAACUGACGUUGAGGCUCGAAAGCGUGGGGAGCAAACAGGAUUAGAUACCCUUGUAGUC